Papaver somniferum (opium poppy) is the source of this 323-nucleotide long non-coding RNA. RefSeq lists it as uncharacterized. The record is from RefSeq and is a predicted model, not a curated record. Lineage: Eukaryota; Viridiplantae; Streptophyta; Magnoliopsida; Ranunculales; Papaveraceae. The transcript is spliced from 3 exons.
UUUUAUUUUUUUCGUUUUUCCCGAUCUGAACUCCUCCUUCACUGAAGAGUCUGAAGAAGAGAACAAGAACAAGUGAACAACAUGCACCAUAGAUCGUGAAAUUUCUUUGUUCAUACGUAUCAAUUUUCACCCCCCACAGAUUCAAGUAAACAAAGAUUCUUAAUAAGCUUAACGAAUAAGGUGACGCACUGACGCAGUGACGCUGAUGCUGUUGUUUGAGUUCUGAAAGAAGUAGAAAAGGCCUUGUAGGCCUUUGAGGUGCUAAAUGGGGAAGCGCAAAGCACCAGAUGAUUCCAAUGAUGCUGAUGGCAUUGCUCCUGUUA